This is a non-coding RNA of Epinephelus lanceolatus (giant grouper), 1482 nucleotides long. Lineage: Eukaryota; Metazoa; Chordata; Actinopteri; Perciformes; Serranidae. The record is from RefSeq and is a predicted model, not a curated record.
UUCAAAAUGUCUGUGCUUCUUCAGAGCUAAGCUAGUUUUCCAAAUUGAAAUUAGUACAAUUAAACAAAAUCCUCAGUACUGAACAAAAACUUUAAUCUACUACAGGGUUACCGAAAAAGCUUGCUUAGGUUGGCUACGCUAAUGAGUAAUGCUGCGUUCGAUUGUAUUCGGAAAGAUCCGGGUCGGAAAUUCCGACUUCCGAGGUAAAUGCAUUUCAUUGCGCAAGCUCGGAAAACAUGGCCGGCCAGGUGGUGUUUGUCUGGGUGCUUUUCAAGCAUCAAAAAUUACUGCUGGGGAAGUAUAUGAGCUACUUGAGGGAGAGAGAGAAAGUGAAAUGUCAUAUGCUGUAUGCUUUGCUGCUGUCACAACCAUCCAUCAGAAAGUCUAUUUUAAAGACGGGUACAGAAUGGGAAAUACUUAUGCAGAUGGAUGAGCAUACAUUUCACCGGCAUCUUCGGGUGACCUGGGCGCAAUUUGAUUUUCUGCUGCUGAAGCUCAACCAGUACAUCCAGACCCUUCAUGUUGGAGGCCGACCAGAGGUUCCCCUUCACCAGCUUGCCAUGUUUCUUUGGUAACUUUUCAUCAUGGCCUCAAAGGACUACUGGGAAGCUUUCAUGUGGUUGAGCAUCUCCUCGUGUCUGCGCUGGGAUGCAGCCUCAGAUUCACAAAGAAAUCCCAAGAGGCUACUUUCCUCUUGGCAACGGGGACAACAUGGAGUUGGGCCCAAGGAAAGACUGGCUGACCCCGAGGAAAGACUGGCAGAAGGCUGCUGUCGGUCAGUGAGAAGUGCAUCGGGUCUCCUCAUUUCCAAGCCAUCAGAAGUUCUCACCACUGGAAACUCAAUAUCAUGGUGCCCUCCCAGAAGUUGCUCCAUCUCGUUGUAAAAUUGAAAGCGCAGUGCACCCUUGCCUGUGGUGCGUUAUCUUUAAUUUUCUUGUACACUUCCUCAAGCGUUCCCCAUUUCCGGGCCACUCUGUCUGGGUCAAAAACCACUUUAAAGUGGUUUGUCAGCUUGGCAGCCAUCUCCUUCCACAUGAGUUUUUUUGAUCCCUUGCCCGCCUUCACCCUGGCAUUCAAUUCUCUCAAUGUUUUGGGCAGCUCACCUCCAUCUUCUUCUAGCUUGUUCCUCAUCAAAUCGAUGAGGAACAAAGUCUGGUCUUUAGUGAAGCAUUCAUUGUGAGGUGGUGCGUUUGUGGCAGGCAUCUCCUCUUCCUCUUCCAUGGGUUCGGCUCCCUCUUUGUCAUCAGCUUCCAGCCCUAAACAUGUAACAUCUGGUCAGAUGAAGGUGAUGGCACUGAUAUAGUUCAAUUAAACUUCUUAACUGCCUUUGUUAUAAAUAUGUGUGUUGAAACAUAAUAAUGCUAUAAUAGAGCUGCAACAAUUAAUCACUUAAUCGAUGACUAAGACUAAUCGAUUAUUAAAUUAAUCGCCAACUAUUUUGAUAAUUGAUUAUUCGGUUUGGGUCAUUUUUGAGAAAAAAAU